This 598-nucleotide small RNA is filed under the name Pan troglodytes (chimpanzee). Its description in RNAcentral is "processed transcript". The record is from RNAcentral. Lineage: Eukaryota; Metazoa; Chordata; Mammalia; Primates; Hominidae.
UUGGCCACCGCCGGCUGCGGGCAAGGUCCCGAGCGCACGGCUUCGAGCGGCUGCUCAGGGUUGCUCCGGGUUGUGCAGCUGCCCGCCCCGGACUCAAAGUUCUAGUCUGGCCCUGGAUGGGAAGUUGGCGUGGCCGGGAUGCCUUCUAACUUUUUCCCCCGGUGGGGACUGACGUUCCUUUCGAGCUGCUGGCGGUGCCGCCGGGCAGCGUCGCGCCCCGCGGUCACUCCCCAGCCCUGGCCCCCAAGCCGGGCCCGGCGCGCGCAGCAGGUUGAGGGGGCGAGUGCCGAGACGUCCUUCUAUGGCCGCUUCAGGCACUUCUUGGAUAUCAUCGACCCUCGCACACUCUUCGUCACUGAGAGACGUCUCAGAGAGGCUGUGCAGCUGCUGGAGGACUAUAAGCAUGGGACCCUGCGCCCGGGGGUCACCAAUGAACAGCUCUGGAGUGCACAGAAAAUCAAGCAGGCUAUUCUACAUCCGGACACCAAUGAGAAGAUCUUCAUGCCAUUUAGAAUGUCAGGUUAUAUUCCUUUUGGGACGCCAAUUGUAGUCGGUCUUCUCUUGCCCAACCAGACACUGGCAUCCACUGUCUUCUGGC